RNAcentral lists this ribosomal RNA (895 nucleotides) under Ramularia glennii. Its description in RNAcentral is "LSU rRNA". It matches the Rfam family "Eukaryotic large subunit ribosomal RNA", at positions 38 to 963 of the family's 3401-position model. Lineage: Eukaryota; Fungi; Ascomycota; Dothideomycetes; Mycosphaerellales; Mycosphaerellaceae. The record is from RNAcentral.
GCAUAUCAAUAAGCGGAGGAAAAGAAACCAACAGGGAUUGCCCUAGUAACGGCGAGUGAAGCGGCAACAGCUCAAAUUUGAAAUCUGGCGCAAGCCCGAGUUGUAAUUUGUAGAGGAUGCUUCUAGGUAGCGACCGGUCUAAGUUCCUUGGAACAGGACGUCAUAGAGGGUGAGAAUCCCGUAUGUGACUGGCCCGCACCUUCUACGUAGCUCCUUCGACGAGUCGAGUUGUUUGGGAAUGCAGCUCUAAAUGGGAGGUAAAUUUCUUCUAAAGCUAAAUACCGGCCAGAGACCGAUAGCGCACAAGUAGAGUGAUCGAAAGAUGAAAAGCACUUUGGAAAGAGAGUUAAAAAGCACGUGAAAUUGUUGAAAGGGAAGCGCUCACAACCAGACUUCUGGGCGGUGUUCCGCCGGUCUUCUGACCGGUCUACUCACCGUCCCGAGGCCAACAUCAUCUGGGACCGCCGGAUAAGACCUUAGGAAUGUAGCUCCCCUCGGGGAGUGUUAUAGCCUGUGGUGAUGCGGCGCGUCUCGGGUGAGGUCCGCGCUUCGGCAAGGAUGUUGGCGUAAUGGUUGUCAGCGGCCCGUCUUGAAACACGGACCAAGGAGUCUAACAUCUAUGCGAGUGUUCGGGUGUCAAACCCCUACGCGUAAUGAAAGUGAACGGAGGUGGGAAGGGUAACCUGCACCAUCGACCGAUCCUGAUGUCCUCGGAUGGAUUUGAGUAAGAGCAUAGCUGUUGGGACCCGAAAGAUGGUGAACUAUGCCUGAAUAGGGUGAAGCCAGAGGAAACUCUGGUGGAGGCUCGCAGCGGUUCUGACGUGCAAAUCGAUCGUCAAAUUUGGGUAAUAGGGGCGAAAGACUAAUCGAACCAUCUAGUAGCUGGUUCCUGCCG